AUUGCUUUGUGGCUCAGAAACAUGAUGACUGGGUUUUCAAGUUCAUGUGUGAGAUACACCUCCCUCCAACCUGGUUACAACAUCUGUACAUUACUAUCUGGCA
This is a small nucleolar RNA of Otolemur garnettii (small-eared galago), 103 nucleotides long. The record is from Ensembl. Lineage: Eukaryota; Metazoa; Chordata; Mammalia; Primates; Galagidae.